UGGCUCAAUGGUUAAGAGCACUGACUGCUCUUCCAGAGGUCCUGGGUUCAAAUCCCAG
This is a non-coding RNA of Mus musculus (house mouse), 58 nucleotides long. The record is from Rfam. Lineage: Eukaryota; Metazoa; Chordata; Mammalia; Rodentia; Muridae.